CCUACGGGAGGCAGCAGUGGGGAAUAUUGCGCAAUGGGCGAAAGCCUGACGCAGCGACGCCGCGUGAGGCAUGAAGGUCGUCGGAUCGUAAACCUCUGUCAGCAGGGAAGAACGGUCACUGUGCUAAUCAGCAGUGAAUUGACGGUACCUGCAAAGGAAGCACCGGCUAACUCCGUGCCAGCAGCCGCGGUAAUACGGAGGGUGCGAGCGUUAAUCGGAAUUACUGGGCGUAAAGCGCUCGUAGGCGGUAUGUCAAGUCAAGGGUGAAAUCCCCGCGCUCAACGUGGGAACUGCCUUUGAAACGGGCAGACUGGAGUGUGUGAGAGGAUAGUGGAAUUCCAGGUGUAGGAGUGAAAUCCGUAGAUAUCUGGAGGAACAUCAGUGGCGAAGGCGACUAUCUGGCACAUAACUGACGCUGAGGAGCGAAAGCGUGGGUAGCAAACAGGAUUAGAUACCCCAGUAGUC
RNAcentral lists this ribosomal RNA (465 nucleotides) under uncultured bacterium. RNAcentral's name for it is "partial 16S ribosomal RNA". It matches the Rfam family "Bacterial small subunit ribosomal RNA", at positions 338 to 795 of the family's 1533-position model. The record is from RNAcentral.